Molecule: long non-coding RNA, 384 nt
Organism: Manis pentadactyla (Chinese pangolin)
Lineage: Eukaryota; Metazoa; Chordata; Mammalia; Pholidota; Manidae
Exons: 3
Source: RefSeq, a predicted model, not a curated record
CCAGGCCGCGUGAGCGCCCCUCCCCACCCGGGCUUCCCGGCUGCACGGCCCCCUUUCGGUGCUGUGACGAUUCACGGGUGGGUGAGUACAAGUGAAGGUCCUUCUUUCAACGCCUGGCACAUAAGCCCAAGGCUUACACCUGACCAUGCACAUGCCUUUCCCACUCCUGUUCCCACUGCCCAUGACCUCGGCCCGCGAUGCUUCAUUCAACGCUGUGGGAAGGCUGAGAGCACUCCCACUCCUAGGAGCCUACCCUUCAGUGAUACCAACCCAUGAGCACAAAGACGAUGUGCAAGGAUUCCUACAGCAUGCAGACCACUACGUGCUGUUUCUGCUCCCGUGACAGACAUGGCUAAUCAAUCAAAGCACCCUUUCUCACAAAGC